UGGAACUUCCAGUUUACACGGCAAUGUUUCCUUUUUGAAACAUAUCUUCUUCUUACUGCUGCUGCAUGGGUACUUCCCAAUUUAAUGUAUGUAGUAGCUUUUGAAUUCACUUUAUUGGCCAAAAACACAAACCUUGAAGGAUGAAAUGCAUAAAACAGUUGAUAAUAAUUCCUAAUAAUAAUAAAGCCUAUACGCAUGAUUGGAACAAAGCACUGUUGCAUCAACAUAUGUGGGUAAAAAAAAAUCAGCAAAAGCUUCUAUUUUCUUCUUUAUUGGCAUUACUUUAUUAAAUAUUCAGCAAAGCAAUAAGUUUUUUCUCUCUCUGUACAUUGACUGUUUAGUGCAUUUUAAGCCUUUCUCUCCAGAUGCUCAUCUUCAUGGUGAAACAUCUCCGAACAUAUGAUACUUUUUAAGCCAAAAAUAAGAAUAUAUUAAAUAUAUAUAUUAAUCAUUGAUAUUAAUGAUAGAUAUGUGUACAGGUAAAUUGGCGCAAAUGAGUUCCGAAUAUUGGCGCAAUUGAUACAUUUAGAAAACAAAAUUUGGCGCAAAAGGACUGCUGUCGGAUUUCCAAUAUAUUGUACAAAAUAUGGGCGCAUUGCAUUUGCGCCGAUUUUUGAAAAUUACAAUCUUUCAUUUGCGCCAAAAAAAUAAAAACUUCAUUUGCGCCAUGUUACAGGUAAUUCAGGUAAACAAUAACGGAAGCGUUAAAUAUGCAUUGCUCUAAAAGGUUUGUCUCGACAGUAUUUCUCUGAAUAAUGGGUUGAGUUCAAUGCCACACUCAUUUCUGAAGCUGAGAGUCACUAAGGUUUAUAAAUAUAUAUAGUGGUCACAUGUUCGAGGUGUCAAGAUGGAAAUUUUCAAUUUAGACAUAAACACAGGAGAAUUAAGUGUGUAAUAUUUGAUGACCACACUUUUAGUUUAUUAUCAGAUCAUACGUUCUGAAAAAGGGAGACCAAGUCGUUUAUUGGUACCCCAAAAAAAGAAAACCUUGCAAAGCCAGUAUAACAACUGAAAUGGACCGCAGUUCAUGAUAAAACGGACUAUCUUUUUUUAUCGUUAUGGUAUGCACUUGAGAGGAGGAAUUUUCCAGACAUAAAUACAUCAGGGCCGUCGCUUACAAGGGUAGACGUAUAACUGUACAAUAGUGUAUCCUGCUUAGAAUAGUUCUAGUGUAAACUGUUUUCUUUCAUGUUUCAUAUUGGGUGUUAUGAUCACGCUUAUUUAUAACAGUCGUGAGAACUGUGUUUCAUUAAGGUUUUAACAUUUAAUGUCGACUGAUUUCUGACGAAUAUAUUUAAUUUUGCAAACACAAACUUUUGUAUAUGUUUUAUAACAUUUACCUGUAUUUACCUGUAAUAUUGGCGCAAAUGAAAUAUUGUUUGUGGCGCAAAUGAAAUGCCAAUUGGCGCAAAAGCAAAGCACCGCAAAAUAUAAACGGUAUACUGGGAGUGAUUUUACAGGGUGAUAAGUGAUUGUUGUAAUAAGAGGUCCCGCAUAUACAUAAUAUACAAAAAAUACAUUGCACUUAUUUCUAAUUUAA
RNAcentral lists this long non-coding RNA (1540 nucleotides) under Mytilus galloprovincialis (Mediterranean mussel). Lineage: Eukaryota; Metazoa; Mollusca; Bivalvia; Mytilida; Mytilidae. The record is from RNAcentral.